RNAcentral lists this long non-coding RNA (503 nucleotides) under Phoenix dactylifera (date palm). RNAcentral's name for it is "long non-coding RNA (PDAC_LNC022912)". The record is from RNAcentral. Lineage: Eukaryota; Viridiplantae; Streptophyta; Magnoliopsida; Arecales; Arecaceae.
AUAUCGAGACGGCCGGGUGGGGGCGAGGCGACGAGCGCUCUCUCUCUCUCUCUCUCGCUCUCUCGCUGGCUCGCCGUUCUCUGGCUUUUAAAGAAGAGAAGGCGGACGGUAAAAAAAGCUCUCGCUGGCUCUAUUUCGUACCCUUGAAAGCUCGGGCUUCUUUUAUCGUUGUCGCUUCAUUAGAAGGAUUUUGUCUUCCUCUUCCCCUCGAGCGAGCGGGUGAUCUCGGAAAGGUAUGGAUCUUUACCCCCAUUCCUUUGGUCUUCUUGGAAUUAAAUCGGCGUAAUCUUGCGUUUCUUCUCGGAUUUUCGAACCAAAUAAGGGUUCUUUUCUGGUUGUUAUGCUGAUUUUGGAUUUCCUAUUUUCUUGAUCAGUUUUAAGGGUUUUCUUUCUCUUUGCCGAUGGAAAUAGGUGGCUUUCGGCUCGGAUUAUGUAAUGUGGAAGUAUCUGGUGUUGAUUUCAGUCGGAUCUUUAAACCCAGGUUUUUCUGUACGGAUCUUCCU